Molecule: small RNA, 571 nt
Filed under: Bos taurus (domestic cattle)
Lineage: Eukaryota; Metazoa; Chordata; Mammalia; Artiodactyla; Bovidae
Source: RNAcentral
AGCGGAAUUCGUGAGACCAAAUGACCCUACUGUGUCAUCAUUUUCAGUUCUUUAGUAAGUUGCUUUAUCCUGAUGGAUUUUCAAAUGUUUAAUGAAUGCUACACUCUUAAGGGGACAAAAACCAAUGGAUUAUGCUAUGUCAUACAUUGUAUGUAUUGGUGUAGGCUGCCACAGAUCAGCUGAUUCAUUCUCAGCCUUAACUGUUUCUCCUCUGAUCCAGACAAUUACUCCAAUGAGGGAAGUGGAAACCUACUUCAGUUCUCCCACCCACCAAGGGCAGGUCCAGACCUAUUAACACUCCUGUUUUUCCCCCUAGUUCCUUCAUCCUACCAAGUUUUGUGGUUCUAUACAUUCUUUUCCACUGGUCAGGUACUCCUGUCAGCUCUCAGCUGGUGUUCUGCAAGCACUUCUGUGUCUGAAGAUGUAUUCCUGAUGUGUCCAAGGAGAGAGGUGUAUUCCUCCUGCAACUACCACUCUGCCAUCUUGUUCAUCUCAACUUUUUGACUAUUAGAAAUAAGACUGCUAUGAACAUUCAUGUGCACGUCUUUGGGGAAACAUUUUUUUUUUUUUU